GUCAAAUAGUCUAUUACCUUAAUUUUUUUGGAUCAGCAUCUGGAUCUAAAUUAAGACCUAAAUCAUACAUGUGUUUUGUCUAUUUUUUUUAAUGAUUUUUUGGGUCUUGAUUUUGACUCAAAAUUGAUCCAAAGAAAUUUACGCAAUAGGCUAUUUGAU
Molecule: microRNA precursor, 159 nt
Filed under: Glycine max (soybean)
Lineage: Eukaryota; Viridiplantae; Streptophyta; Magnoliopsida; Fabales; Fabaceae
Description: miR9725 stem-loop (gma-MIR9725)
Source: miRBase by way of RNAcentral